RNAcentral lists this ribosomal RNA (253 nucleotides) under uncultured bacterium. Its description in RNAcentral is "partial 16S ribosomal RNA". It matches the Rfam family "Bacterial small subunit ribosomal RNA", at positions 524 to 776 of the family's 1533-position model. The record is from RNAcentral.
GACAGAGGUGGCGAGCGUUGUUCGGAUUCAUUGGGCGUAAAGAGCGCGUAGGCGGUCCUCUAAGUCGGUGGUGAAAUCCCGGGGCUUAACCCCGGAAUUGCCCUCGAUACUGGAGGACUUGAGUGCGGGAGAGGGUAGUGGAAUUCCCAGUGUAGAGGUGAAAUUCGUAGAUAUUGGGAAGAACACCAGUGGCGAAGGCAGCUACCUGGACCGCAACUGACGCUGAGGCGCGAAAGCGUGGGGAGCAAACAGG